GAUGAAGAACGCAGCGAAAUGCGAUACGUAAUGUGAAUUGCAAAUUCAGUGAAUCAUCGAGUCUUUGAACGCACAUUGCGCCCCCUGGUAUUCCGGGGGACAUGCCUGUCCGAGCGUCAUUGCUGCCCUCAAGCACGGCUUGUGUGUUGGGCCCCGUCCUCCGAUCCCGGGGGACGGGCCCGAAAGGCAGCGGCGGCACCGCGUCCGGUCCUCGAGCGUAUGGGGCUUUGUCACCCGCUCUGUAGGCCCGGCCGGCGCUUGCCGAUCAACCCAAAUUUUUUAUCCAGGUUGACCUCGGAUCAGGUAGGGAUACCCGCUGAACUUAAGCAUAUCAAUAAGCGGAGGA
This 346-nucleotide unclassified non-coding RNA is filed under the name soil metagenome. Its description in RNAcentral is "partial contains 5.8S ribosomal RNA, internal transcribed spacer 2, and large subunit ribosomal RNA". The stretch from base 1 to 119 matches the Rfam family "5.8S ribosomal RNA", at positions 35 to 154 of the family's 154-position model. The record is from RNAcentral.